This is a long non-coding RNA of Amblyraja radiata (thorny skate), 154 nucleotides long. RefSeq lists it as uncharacterized. Lineage: Eukaryota; Metazoa; Chordata; Chondrichthyes; Rajiformes; Rajidae. The record is from RefSeq and is a predicted model, not a curated record. The transcript has 3 exons.
UGUCGUUUAAUUGGCCUCGGUAAAAAUUGUAAAUUGUCCCUAGUGUGUGGGAUAGUGCUAGUGUACGGGGAUCGCUGGUCGGCGCAGACUCGGUGGGCCGAAGGGCCUGUUUCCGCGCACUAUCGCUGAACUAAACUAAAUAAAGGAAUGGAUG